Non-coding RNA from Peromyscus maniculatus bairdii (prairie deer mouse), 236 nucleotides. Lineage: Eukaryota; Metazoa; Chordata; Mammalia; Rodentia; Cricetidae. The record is from RefSeq and is a predicted model, not a curated record.
UGACUGAGAGUUCAGACCUGUGCUCUUUCGAGUGUCUUUGGCUGUCCUUUUUAUAUUGCAAAGUGAGAACUUUCCCUACUGUGUUUGAUAAAUGUUGUCCAGGUUCCAUUGCCAAGAAUGUGUUGUCUAAAAUGCCUGUUUAGUUUUCAAGGAUGGAACUCCACCCUUUACUUGGUUUUAAGUAUGUAUGGAAUGUUAUGAUAGGACAUAGUAAUAGUGGUGGUCAGAUGUGGAAA